UCCACCUAUUUUCAUAUGUAGAUUGGUUAGUACAUGUGCACCAAUCAAAGUAAUGUACUAACACUAGCUCCACCUUACUGUACACUUUAUAUUAACACUCACUUCCUAUGUUACGUAGUUACACCGGUGGUAGAGAUGAACUAACAAUGUAUU
Amblyraja radiata (thorny skate) is the source of this 153-nucleotide long non-coding RNA. RefSeq lists it as uncharacterized. The transcript has 3 exons. Lineage: Eukaryota; Metazoa; Chordata; Chondrichthyes; Rajiformes; Rajidae. The record is from RefSeq and is a predicted model, not a curated record.